RNAcentral lists this long non-coding RNA (1177 nucleotides) under Canis lupus familiaris (dog). RNAcentral's name for it is "lncRNA (ENSCAFG00845025909.1)". The record is from RNAcentral. Lineage: Eukaryota; Metazoa; Chordata; Mammalia; Carnivora; Canidae.
GUAUCUGCAAGGACGCCCAGGGUCUCUCCUUGAACCUUCAGUUUCCCCAGGUUUCCCGCGGCGGCGCAUGCAGCUGCACGGAAGCCACGGGCAGCAGGCCGGCCUGGCCCGAGAAAGCGCUCCUGCAGGGGAUUGCUCGCGCAGCACCAUUCCUUGAGAGCUUGCGCGGUCGCCCGCCCUCAGCCCCGAGCCUUCCUCGCGGCUCCGAGGCAUCCAGGAAGCGGGCCGCUUGGGCUGUGGACAUACGUGCCCUGACCGUGCUGGGCCUCAGAGCUGGCAGCCCUCCCCACACGGGCCCCAACCCUCCAGCACGACCACCAGGGAGGGCCCAGAUGGUCCGGCCGUCCCUCCAUGCGCUCUCCCGCAGGGCAGCCUCACUGCAUGCACCGCGGCUUCUCCCCAAAGCCGCCUGAGCGAGCCCGCGCUCACUCGGCCCCGGAUAGAAGGCUGCGUGCAAAGCGGGCACGCACUCGGGGAAAAGCGAGGGCCACGCGUCUCGGGAACGUCCAAAAUCCGGUUACCAGGCAGCUGCCGGGGCGCCGGGGCGGGUGCGGGUGCGGGUGCGGGUGCGGGUGCGGGCGCGCUCCCCACCAGGAUGACCCAGGGCCCCGCGGGCGCUCCUCGCCCCAGACAACCUGGGCAAGGCCCGGCCUGGGGCCAGGGAGCGGCGGCAGGAGUCCGGCGGGCGGGGAAGGGGGGCCCCAGAGACGUGCAGUGUUCCGUGCAGGGCCUCCCAGGAAAUUCUCCCUGCACUGAGACGUUUGAGAAUCAGCGACCUGGGCGGAAGAGCCCGAGGGGGUCCCCACCGCUCCGGUUCCUCUCGACUGGACGGCAGAGAAGCCCUCGCUAGGAUCAAAAACGGGGGAUGUGCCACCCAGGCAGCCCCUGGGCUCUGGAAGCGCUUCAGACCGGAAACGGGGACGCUUCCGAAGCGGCAGGAGGCCCGACCCACGUCAGCGUCGUCUGGGGCCCAGCCUCGUCUGGGGCCCUGGCGGCGGGGCGGGAGGCUCAGGGCCUGCCCAGGAGCUGGAGUCCGCAGGGCGGGCACUGCCGGCCUGGGAAAGUGGUGCGCCCCGACGCAGUACCUGUCUGAGCCACCGGAGGGCGCGUGGGUCUCUGGGACGCGGGAGGCGCGGCUCCCCGCGCGCGUGCCUGGACCAAGGACCCGGGGCGCGCG